Molecule: RNA transcript, 3625 nt
Organism: Lepisosteus oculatus (spotted gar)
Lineage: Eukaryota; Metazoa; Chordata; Actinopteri; Semionotiformes; Lepisosteidae
Gene: lrrc63
Gene name: leucine-rich repeat-containing protein 63
Source: RefSeq, a predicted model, not a curated record
GCUGUCUCCAAGGACGCUGCAGUCCACCGGAGCCGCGUGUUGUGUUGCUGGCGAGUUAUAGUUCGUCCGGUUACGGUCCUGGCGACAGCAGGAGAAAGCAUGGCCCUGCUUGUCCUUCCUCGGGGCACGACGAGAUGAGGACUCCGUGCGGACACGACAUCCAGGAUGUCUGAGGACACAAAGCUCCUGAGAAGGCCGUUACCUCCUAAGACAUUGCCGGCCCUUCGCCCGGUGUCGCCCGCUAGGAGACCUGCAGGUCAGGAAUCAGUCUUUAACCCACUGCCGCCUGUUCAAAGAAAACCUGCCCCAGAUGGCAGAACGGAGGUGAUGCACAGCUGCAACCAUGCCAGUGUGCCUUUUGCCUCGCCAGUCCACCAGGCCGUGCCCAACCCCAGGAAUCGACUGGCUGUGAUCCCCAAAGGUCCCGGUGGGUUCCCCUGCAGGGCCCCGCGCACCUGGCCACAGGUGCACCUCCUGGGGACCCUGCAGGACGACCCUCGUUUCUGUUCCCAGCCGCCGUUCACCCUGAACGACUUUAUGGGAGGCCGCUGCUCCUGCCCGAGGCUUCGGAUGCAAACGCUGAAGCAAACUGUCUUCUCGCGUGAGAACUACAGAAAGCUGGUGGAACUGCUCCUCGCUGAGCUCCACAGGGGCAGGCGGCCUGACGUGUCCACUCAAGUGCUGUCCAGCGACUCUGUGCCUGUGGCCACAAAGAGGACCCCUCAAAGGCAGAUCAUCUACGAGCUAGCCGCUUUGAUAAGAGAGCAGGUAAGGAGUCAGACUUCAGCCAAGAGCUCCCACCGGGAAGACAGAGAUUCAGCUGUUGGAUGUGGCUCUAAAAGAGUUUCCAUAUCUGGGCAAAGAGAGGCUCUUCAGACACUAAGUUCCUCACAAGAACAUCCUGGAUCAGAAAUCAUUUUGAACUCCGUUACCACAAGAUAUUUUCAAGGGUCCCGGCGCAGCCAGUCUCCUUUUCUUCAGGACGAUCAGUGUGGUGUCAUUGGGCCCUCGGAGCUGGCCAUACUGGACUGCCUGGUGCAAGGAGGCGUUCUCCUGAGUCUGAAGGCUCAUUUUAUUGCUCGGGUUCCUGAUUUGACACCGCUGGCUCACAGUUUGCUUUAUCUAAACCUUUCAUUUAAUGAACUGAAUGUGUUUCCUACAGAGGUUUAUGACAUCCCAUGCUUAGAGGUGUUAAAACUAAGAGACAACCCCAUUAAAGAAAUUCCAGACGGUAUACACAAGCUGUCAAAACUGAAGACCUUUGUCAUUUCAUUCUGCUUAAUUUCAGCCCUUCCUCUUGGGUUGUUCUCUUUACCGUGCCUGCAGUUCCUGGAUGUCUCUUACAACAUGAUUUCAGCCAUCCCCAGUGACAUGAGGAAUCUCAGGGCCCUUGAGUACCUCAAUGUGGAGGGGAACCAGCUGGCUGCUCUUCCCUGUGGGGCUCUGAGGCUCUGUCUGAGGGAGCUGCGAGUCUCCAAUAACUACAUGCACCCCUACUUCUGGACAGAAAACACGCAGAACCAGCCCCAGAGGCUCGUCCACCUGGCAGCCCUCUGCUUCUCAGUGUAUGGUCUGGACCGGCGUUACACCAGCCUACCCUGUGACAUCCAGCAAACCCUAAAUAAUGUGAAUACGUGCGACUGCUGCAGAGGGCCCCUUUUCGGUCCUGGACUGCGGUUGAUCAGGCCUUGUGAGAAGAUAUUUGGAGUCCGAAAAGUACCUUUCCUGUUCUCCGCCUGUUCCCCGUCUUGUUACGAGAGCUUCACCACUCAGACUGAGAACCUCGUCCAGCUACUUUAUGGAGAAUCAGCAUCACAAAACAGUUAAUCCAGCAGGUGAAAUGAGAUGUUGGUCUAAGCAAAGAGAGGCUGACAAGAACAACUUCUGAAAGAAGCAGAGAACAGGAAGUGAAGAGGUGAAGACGGUAAAAAGGAUGUGAUCUGCAAAACUGACAAGAUAAAGAAUACUUGGUUUGCUGCCCUGUAGCACCACGUAGUGGAGAACCAUGAUAUGAACUGCUGAGCUGUGGUGAGAGGUGGAGUCGCUGCUCAUCAGACGCAGUGUGGUCGGCGUCAUGAAAGGGCCACUUUAGGUGAGGAAAGCCAUCUAGCUUGAUGGCAUUUCUGUGCCAAAUGAGACAAACCCAAGCUAGGCAGGGCACAACAACCUUGGAGACAAGUGGGUAUGGAAGAGCCACUUGAGUUUCCCUUGAUCUAAGGGCCAUACAAGAUAUUAAUACACUGUGAAGUAACAGGAAAAUUAUUCUUCAGCAGAUUUUCUUAAGUGAAAUACCUCUUUUACAAAACCAAGCCCUGGGCUUCACCCUUCAGGCCAUGUGAGACCUCCUUGAACUAGAGUCCUUGCUGCAUCUUCAGCCCUGAAUGAUGGAGUUUCCAUCAAGGUCUUUUAGUCUCCACAUCAGCCUGGUUUUAAAGCUGGGCAGUCACUGGGGUUCUGUCCCUCACACCCUGCUUCCCCGUCCCUCCCUCACCCUGCCACCACCCGAGGCGUGGGCUUCAAUUUGCCUUCUCAUCCUACCAUCUGGGAAAUUGUGGACAGUGUGUCCCUCGUUUGGUAGGGACGGUCUCCUGCACCAAAAGGGGUGGGUGGGCUGUUGACCUCGCCCUGGCCCUACUCAGAUCUAACAGGACUGGCUUCGCAGAAAAUGCUGGGGAGCUGCAAGCUCAGCCCAGCCCAAUCAGCAGAGGCAGGUGCUGAGGCUGGAUCCACCUGGACAGCUUUGGUAAAUGUGCUUUGCAGAAGAGCAGUGAUGUGGCAAUUGUAUCCAAAUGAAGACUGCGUUCCCUUUUCAUUUAACUUUGGAUCCCUUAUUAUUUCAUUUAUUUUUGGAAUCUACACUAAACAUCAAGGUGCACUAAAAAUCUACCUUUAAAAAAACAACCAAAGCAAAACCCACCGAAAACAAAAGCGUUAUUCUGCUUUACCUGUCUCCAUCUUCUUUCUGGGAUAACUGAUGUGUGUAGAGUUGUUUAAAAUGGUGGAAUGUUUUCUAAAUAGUAUUUUGUCACAUAAACUGGUACUGAGUACAGAUUUUUUUGUAUCUUGAAGACAAAAAUCAAUAUGUGAAUGAGUUCAAAGUAGCACCUUCAGAACAUGUUUUUAGCUUUUAGUUCACGUGUUUAGUUUAGGGAACCUAAAUCCUUUAGUUUACAAAAGUCUGUCCUUAAUGAAGCGGAUCAUCUAUGAAAUGAAACUGAACUGUAUUUGCAUGUCACGCUCAAUCACCCUGCAUAAACUAUACAAUGAAGCAAAUGAAAAAAAAAACUACAUUUUAAAUGAAAAACAUGAACUAGUCACAAGGACAAACUGUGAACUGAAACGCAUACAGUCGACUCGCAAUUUACCUGGGGGUUAGGGAUUUUGAAUAGCGUGUAACGCCAGAUACACCUCUAGUCAAAUUUUACUGUGUAUCCCAAUAAACUCCUGCUCGCCUUACGGUCAUUCAAGAUAAGUAUAAAAACAGUAAAAAAUACGACUGUAGAGGCUUUUUAACUAGCUCUCGUAAGCGCGCUUGACGGUUUCAGAGAAUAAAGCAUUUAUAAAGCAAGUUGAGAGCGCGUUAGGCGAGAGUCACUUUAGGUUCCAGAUCUUGCUCCCAUGAUAU